GAUGAACGCUGGCGGCGUGCCUAAUACAUGCAAGUCGAGCGAACGGACGAGAAGCUUGCUUCUCUGAUGUUAGCGGCGGACGGGUGAGUAACACGUGGAUAACCUACCUAUAAGACUGGGAUAACUUCGGGAAACCGGAGCUAAUACCGGAUAAUAUUUUGAACCGCAUGGUUCAAAAGUGAAAGACGGUCUUGCUGUCACUUAUAGAUGGAUCCGCGCUGCAUUAGCUAGUUGGUAAGGUAACGGCUUACCAAGGCAACGAUGCAUAGCCGACCUGAGAGGGUGAUCGGCCACACUGGAACUGAGGCACGGUCCAGACUCCUACGGGAGGCAGCAGUAGGGAAUCUUCCGCAAUGGGCGAAAGCCUGACGGAGCAACGCCGCGUGAGUGAUGAAGGUCUUCGGAUCGUAAAACUCUGUUAUUAGGGAAGAACAUAUGUGUAAGUAACUGUGCACAUCCUGACGGUACCUAAUCAGAAAGCCACGGCUAACUACGUG
This 497-nucleotide ribosomal RNA is filed under the name uncultured bacterium. Its description in RNAcentral is "partial 16S ribosomal RNA". It matches the Rfam family "Bacterial small subunit ribosomal RNA", at positions 28 to 507 of the family's 1533-position model. The record is from RNAcentral.